GUAAGGAUAGUCGUUUUGAGUACGGAUCUAUUUCGAUAUUAUGAUAAGAUUGAUAGAUCGAUCAAUAUCGAUGUAUCAAAAAGAAAGAAAAAGAAGAGAUACGACGGUGGAUUAUACUUUUCUUGCAGUGGAGGAUCAUGACUUGUGUUUUUGUUAAGGGAUAAAGCCACGAGGUUUCAGGUGGCCGACUUCCUUGGCCGCUGCUACUGGUGCGGGAAGAGGCUGCACGGGGAAGACAUCUGCAUGUACAGAGGGGAGACGGCAUUUUGCAGCGCGGAGAGCCGUCACCGGCUGAUCGUCAGCGACGAGUACCGGGUGAUAUCGAGCUCUCCAUGCUCCGGCGGAGGAGCAACCCGAGGUUUCUAGGCAUGAUGAUAGUAGUAUCAGAGCACUGUAAUCUACAGCUGUUUGAGUUCAGGAAAGAUUUUCCUGUUGACUCAAGAAAACCAUCAGUUUUGCAUCAUGAAGAACCAAAAGAUGCACUGAGGUCUUCACAUGUUCUUCAUGAUGAUUAGUAAGAAAAAGAUUGGCCAAAACAUAGAGGGGAUUUAGUCAACCAAAUCAGAAAAAGACUAGAAAAGAAAAGAAGAUCAAUUGUGAGAAGGUCUUCACAAAUCUUUUAAAGUUCAUCAUUUUGUUUUGUUUAGCUAACAUUUUGCACAAGAACUCGAGAAAAAGUUCAUUACCUUUGUACUCCUUUUCUAUCUCUUCUUCCCUUAGUUUCUGCCAAAUGCUUGGCAUAUGAUGCUUCAAAUGUUUCACCCUCUACUCUUCUAAUGCUUUCCCUCUCUAUGACCCCCUCAGCCAUUCAUAUAGUGGAAGAGA
Molecule: long non-coding RNA, 825 nt
Organism: Musa acuminata AAA Group (dessert banana)
Lineage: Eukaryota; Viridiplantae; Streptophyta; Magnoliopsida; Zingiberales; Musaceae
Exons: 3
Source: RefSeq, a predicted model, not a curated record